ACGUAGUUGGCCGCACCUUCUUCUGGAGGUACCGUCAUUUUCUUCCCUCCUGAAAGCGGUUUACAACCCUAGGGCCUUCUUCCCGCACGCGGCAUCGCUGCAUCAGGCUUUCGCCCAUUGUGCAAGAUUCCCC
RNAcentral lists this ribosomal RNA (133 nucleotides) under uncultured bacterium. Its description in RNAcentral is "partial 16S ribosomal RNA". The record is from RNAcentral.